UAAUCCGAAUAAACCAUCAAUUUAGUCUCUAAAUUACACAAAUAUAUAAAACCCGUCAAUUUAGUCUCUCAAUUGUAUGAUAAUCCGUCAAUUUAGUCUAACAUCUAGAUAGCAAAGACUAAAUUGACGGAUUUUAUAUAAUUCAGGGACUGUUUAUUAUAUAUACUUGUUUAGUUUAGGGACUUAAUUGAAUACGUGAUUUUUAGGGACUAAAUUGAUGGUUUAUUCUUUUUA
RNAcentral lists this microRNA precursor (234 nucleotides) under Medicago truncatula (barrel medic). Its description in RNAcentral is "miR5741d stem-loop (mtr-MIR5741d)". The record is from miRBase by way of RNAcentral. Lineage: Eukaryota; Viridiplantae; Streptophyta; Magnoliopsida; Fabales; Fabaceae.